Molecule: ribosomal RNA, 2906 nt
Filed under: Serratia fonticola
Lineage: Bacteria; Pseudomonadati; Pseudomonadota; Gammaproteobacteria; Enterobacterales; Yersiniaceae
Description: 23S ribosomal RNA
Rfam family: Bacterial large subunit ribosomal RNA
Source: RNAcentral
UUAAGUGACUAAGCGUACACGGUGGAUGCCUAGGCAGUCAGAGGCGAUGAAGGGCGUGCUAAUCUGCGAAAAGUGUCGGUAAGGUGAUAUGAACCGUUAUAACCGGCAAUACCCGAAUGGGGAAACCCAGUGUGUUUCGACACACUAUCGUAUGGUGAAUACAUAGCCAUACGAGGCGAACCGGGGGAACUGAAACAUCUAAGUACCCCGAGGAAAAGAAAUCAACCGAGAUUCCCCUAGUAGCGGCGAGCGAACGGGGAACAGCCCAGAACCUGAAUCAGUUCUUGUGUUAGUGGAAGCGUCUGGAAAGUCGCGCAGCAAAGGGUGAUAGCCCCGUACACUAAAAUGCAUUAACUGUGAGUUCGAUGAGUAGGGCGGGACACGUGACAUCCUGUCUGAAUAUGGGGGGACCAUCCUCCAAGGCUAAAUACUCCUGACUGACCGAUAGUGAACCAGUACCGUGAGGGAAAGGCGAAAAGAACCCCGGCGAGGGGAGUGAAAUAGAACCUGAAACCGUGUACGUACAAGCAGUGGGAGCACCUUCGUGGUGUGACUGCGUACCUUUUGUAUAAUGGGUCAGCGACUUAUAUUUUGUAGCAAGGUUAACCGUAUAGGGGAGCCGUAGGGAAACCGAGUCUUAACUGGGCGAAUAGUUGCAAGGUAUAGACCCGAAACCCGGUGAUCUAGCCAUGGGCAGGUUGAAGGUUGGGUAACACUAACUGGAGGACCGAACCGACUAAUGUUGAAAAAUUAGCGGAUGACUUGUGGCUGGGGGUGAAAGGCCAAUCAAACCGGGAGAUAGCUGGUUCUCCCCGAAAGCUAUUUAGGUAGCGCCUCGUGAACUCAUCUUCGGGGGUAGAGCACUGUUUCGGCUAGGGGGCCAUCCCGGCUUACCAAACCGAUGCAAACUCCGAAUACCGAAGAAUGUUAUCACGGGAGACACACGGCGGGUGCUAACGUCCGUCGUGAAGAGGGAAACAACCCAGACCGCCAGCUAAGGUCCCAAAGUCAUGGUUAAGUGGGAAACGAUGUGGGAAGGCAUAGACAGCCAGGAUGUUGGCUUAGAAGCAGCCAUCAUUUAAAGAAAGCGUAAUAGCUCACUGGUCGAGUCGGCCUGCGCGGAAGAUGUAACGGGGCUAAACCAUGCACCGAAGCUGCGGCAGCGACGCUUAGGCGUUGUUGGGUAGGGGAGCGUUCUGUAAGCCGUUGAAGGUGAACUGUGAGGUUUGCUGGAGGUAUCAGAAGUGCGAAUGCUGACAUAAGUAACGAUAAAGCGGGUGAAAAACCCGCUCGCCGGAAGACCAAGGGUUCCUGUCCAACGUUAAUCGGGGCAGGGUGAGUCGACCCCUAAGGCGAGGCCGAAAGGCGUAGUCGAUGGGAAACAGGUUAAUAUUCCUGUACUCGGUGUUACUGCGAAGGGGGGACGGAGAAGGCUAGGCUAGCCGGGCGACGGUUGUCCCGGUUUAAGCGUGUAGGGGGAGUGACUUGGUAAAUCCGGUUGCUUAUCAACCCUGAGGCGUGAUGACGAUGCACUACGGUGCAGAAGUAGUUGAUGCCCUGCUUCCAGGAAAAGCCUCUAAGCAUCAGGUAACAUCAAAUCGUACCCCAAACCGACACAGGUGGUCAGGUAGAGAAUACCAAGGCGCUUGAGAGAACUCGGGUGAAGGAACUAGGCAAAAUGGUGCCGUAACUUCGGGAGAAGGCACGCUGGCGCGUAGGUGAAGAGACUUGCUCUCGGAGCUGAAGCCAGUCGCAGAUACCAGCUGGCUGCAACUGUUUAAUAAAAACACAGCACUGUGCAAACACGAAAGUGGACGUAUACGGUGUGACGCCUGCCCGGUGCUGGAAGGUUAAUUGAUGGGGUCAGCCGCAAGGCGAAGCUCUUGAUCGAAGCCCCAGUAAACGGCGGCCGUAACUAUAACGGUCCUAAGGUAGCGAAAUUCCUUGUCGGGUAAGUUCCGACCUGCACGAAUGGCGUAAUGAUGGCCAGGCUGUCUCCACCCGAGACUCAGUGAAAUUGAACUCGCUGUGAAGAUGCAGUGUACCCGCGGCAAGACGGAAAGACCCCGUGAACCUUUACUAUAGCUUGACACUGAACAUUGAGCCUUGAUGUGUAGGAUAGGUGGGAGGCUUUGAAGUGUGGACGCCAGUCUGCAUGGAGCCAACCUUGAAAUACCACCCUUUAAUGUUUGAUGUUCUAACUCGGCCCCGUAAUCCGGGGUGAGGACAGUGUCUGGUGGGUAGUUUGACUGGGGCGGUCUCCUCCCAAAGAGUAACGGAGGAGCACGAAGGUUAGCUAAUCACGGUCGGACAUCGUGAGGUUAGUGCAAAGGCAUAAGCUAGCUUGACUGCGAGAGUGACGGCUCGAGCAGGUACGAAAGUAGGUCUUAGUGAUCCGGUGGUUCUGAAUGGAAGGGCCAUCGCUCAACGGAUAAAAGGUACUCCGGGGAUAACAGGCUGAUACCGCCCAAGAGUUCAUAUCGACGGCGGUGUUUGGCACCUCGAUGUCGGCUCAUCACAUCCUGGGGCUGAAGUAGGUCCCAAGGGUAUGGCUGUUCGCCAUUUAAAGUGGUACGCGAGCUGGGUUUAGAACGUCGUGAGACAGUUCGGUCCCUAUCUGCCGUGGGCGUUGGAAGAUUGAGAGGGGUUGCUCCUAGUACGAGAGGACCGGAGUGAACGCACCACUGGUGUUCGGGUUGUCAUGCCAAUGGCACUGCCCGGUAGCUAAGUGCGGAAAAGAUAAGCGCUGAAAGCAUCUAAGCGCGAAACUUGCCUCGAGAUGAGUCUUCCCUGGGCCUUUAAGGUCCCUGAAGGAACGUUUAAGACUAAGACGUUGAUAGGCUGGGUGUGUAAGUGCAGCGAUGCAUUGAGCUAACCAGUACUAAUGAUCCGUGAGGCUUAACCUU